UGCUGCAGUGGUGGGGGUUGGAAAGUUUCGGCGGUUGGGGAUGGACUCGCGGCUUAUCAGCUUGUUGGUGGGGUAGUGGCUUACCAAGGCUUUGACGGGUAGCCGGCCUGAGAGGGUGACCGGCCACAUUGGGACUGAGAUACGGCCCAGACUCCUACGGGAGGCAGCAGUGGGGAAUAUUGCACAAUGGGUGGAAGCCUGAUGCAGCAACGCCGUGUGCGGGAUGACGGCCUUCGGGUUGUAAACCGCUUUCGCUCAUGACGAAGCUUCGUGUGACGGUAGUGGGUAAAGAAGCACCGGCUAACUACGUG
This 311-nucleotide ribosomal RNA is filed under the name uncultured bacterium. RNAcentral describes it as "bacterial SSU rRNA". It matches the Rfam family "Bacterial small subunit ribosomal RNA", at positions 182 to 507 of the family's 1533-position model. The record is from RNAcentral.